CACCGGGAGGAGGCCUCGGGGAAGACCCAGGACAUGCUGGAGGGACUAUGUUUCUCGGCUGGCCUGGGAACUCCGGGGGUAUUCCAAUACCCCCGGAGGAGCUGUAAGAAGUGGCUGGGGAGAGGGAAGUCUGGGCCUCUGUAACCCACGUUAAAAUCUGACAUAAAUARGAAUAAAUAGUUGAUUAAAAGUCUGGACAGAAAAUAACGUUGCUGCUCCUUUAAGGAACCAGCGUCACUGACGCGGCGCCUGGGUGACGUUGCAGAGCACAAACCUGAGGGAGAGAGCAGAGGAGGAAUCGUAGGAAAAGAGCAGUGAUUAAUUAACGGAAAAAGUUAAUAUUAUAGUUGAGAAAAUAUAAAUUACCUGGUCGGAAACUGACGGGGAUUUUAUGUGAACUAACUUACUUUGGUUUUGGUCAGGUUUUUUUGUUCGGUUGGAAGCUCGGUCGGAGCGAGGAUUGGUGCCAGUGGACAUUCACAGACGGGAUUCAAGAUGGCGAGCCAGACCUAGACCUUCAAUUCAUCUUCUCCAUCGUAUCAAGGAGGGACUCUCCUGCGUGUGGUAAUUCGCUGCCGGAGCGGUAGGAAUAUCRGGAACUAGUUCAAACCGAACUGAACAGGAUUAAGAACUGAUUGAAUUAUUAUUUWUUUCCUCUGGACUGAAUCAAACUGAAGCUUUUCGCUGAACUGAGUACCUGAACUUACAUUUGGAUUUGAACCUGAAUUUAAAGUGCCAUACUUUGAUUUUCAUAUGUUAUGUUUCUGAAUGUGAUUUGAAUAUUUGUGGUCCACUUUGAUUUAA
Molecule: non-coding RNA, 804 nt
Organism: Poecilia reticulata (guppy)
Lineage: Eukaryota; Metazoa; Chordata; Actinopteri; Cyprinodontiformes; Poeciliidae
Source: RefSeq, a predicted model, not a curated record